RNAcentral lists this ribosomal RNA (580 nucleotides) under Neocicindela tuberculata. RNAcentral describes it as "partial 16S ribosomal RNA". It matches the Rfam family "Bacterial large subunit ribosomal RNA", at positions 1927 to 2771 of the family's 2925-position model. The record is from RNAcentral. Lineage: Eukaryota; Metazoa; Arthropoda; Insecta; Coleoptera; Carabidae.
AUGGCCGCAGUAUUUUGACUGUGCAAAGGUAGCAUAAUUAUUAGUUUUUUAAUUGUAAACUUGUAUGAAUGGUUGGACGAAAUAAAGGCUGUCUUUAUUUAAAUUAUAGUAGAAUUUAACUUUUAAGUCAAAAGGCUUAAAUGUUUAUAAAAGACGAGAAGACCCUAUAGAUCUUUAUUUAAUUGAGGCUUUAUUAGCUUAGGAUUAUUUUAAUUUAAAGUUUUAAUUAAAUUUUAUUGGGGUAAUAUAAAGAUUAAAAAAAUUCUUUUAAUUUAUUACAUAAAUUUGUGAAUACAUGAUCCAAUAAUAUUGAUUAUAAGAUUAAGUUACCUUAGGGAUAACAGCGUAAUUUUUUUGGAGAGCUCAUAUCGAUAAAAAAGUUUGCGACCUCGAUGUUGGAUUAAAAAUUAUUUUGGGUGCAGGAGCUCAAAAUUUUGGUCUGUUCGACCAUUAAAUUUUUACAUGAUCUGAGUUCAGACCGGCGUAAGCCAGGUCGGUUUCUAUCUUUAUUAAAAUAAAAUAUUUUAGUACGAAAGGACCAAGUAUUUAAUAUAAUUAUAUUUAUUUUUUGAAUAACAUU